AUUGAACGCUGGCGGCAGGCCUAACACAUGCAAGUCGAGCGGAUGAAGGGAGCUUGCUCCUGGAUUCAGCGGCGGACGGGUGAGUAAUGCCUAGGAAUCUGCCUGGUAGUGGGGGAUAACGUCCGGAAACGGGCGCUAAUGCCGCAUACGUCCUGAGGGAGAAAGUGGGGGAUCUUCGGACCUCACGCUAUCAGAUGAGCCUAGGUCGGAUUAGCUAGUUGGUGGGGUAAAGGCCUACCAAGGCGACGAUCCGUAACUGGUCUGAGAGGAUGAUCAGUCACACUGGAACUGAGACACGGUCCAGACUCCUACGGGAGGCAGCAGUGGGGAAUAUUGGACAAUGGGAGAAAGCCUGAUCCAGCCAUGCCGCGUGUGUGAAGAAGGUCUUCGGAUUGUAAAGCACUUUAAGUUGGGAGGAAGGGCAGUAAGUUAAUACCUUGCUGUUUUGACGUUACCAACAGAAUAAGCACCGGCUAACUUCGUG
This 484-nucleotide ribosomal RNA is filed under the name uncultured bacterium. Its description in RNAcentral is "partial 16S ribosomal RNA". It matches the Rfam family "Bacterial small subunit ribosomal RNA", at positions 30 to 507 of the family's 1533-position model. The record is from RNAcentral.